Molecule: long non-coding RNA, 682 nt
Filed under: Ananas comosus (pineapple)
Lineage: Eukaryota; Viridiplantae; Streptophyta; Magnoliopsida; Poales; Bromeliaceae
Description: long non-coding RNA (ACOM_LNC031465)
Source: RNAcentral
CCUAGUCUACUUCAAAGUCUUCUAAACCUAUAAAUAAGCCAUGGGGGUCAUCAUAUGAGUUUAGGCUUUGAAUUUCUACUGUUCUAAAACCCUAGAAACUUGUUUUCACAUUCUUAUGAUUUUAUUCAUAUAACAAGUUUCAUAUAAUCAACGAUCGACUUGAUUCUUCGAUUUUAACUCGAGAUAUUCUUUGAGAAUCAAGUAGAUGUUUGAUUAGAAGGUGAACCCUCAUUGCUUAUGGGAUUCUAAGUCUUAAUCACCACAAAUCAUCGAUUCUACAAGCUCCGGAAGGAGGUUCGGCGCGUGGAUCUCGCGUGAAGCCGAGGAUUCGGUGGACGCUUCGAGGAGUUGAGGUGUUGAUGCGGCAAGGAGUUGCGGCGGGGUCGAUUGGAGGAUUCCUAUCGAUGGAGGACCGGCGAAGACAAUCGACAACAAGAAUUCGGUAAAUUGAGUCUUGUAUUUUGGUUCAAUCACUUGUACUCAAGUUUUCUUAGUGGAUUUUCUUUGUGUGAUCGGUCCCGUGGGUUUUUCACUCCGAAUUGGAGUUUUCCCACGUUAAAAUCUCGGUGUGUUGUUUUUAUUUUUCGCUAUUCUUUUUAUUUGCAUCGAGAGUUUUUGUUUUUGCCAUUUUACACCUAUUCACCCCCCUCUAGGUGUUAUUUACCUUUUAGAUCCUCGGGAU